This 83-nucleotide transfer RNA is filed under the name Kitasatospora xanthocidica. Its description in RNAcentral is "tRNA-Tyr". Lineage: Bacteria; Bacillati; Actinomycetota; Actinomycetes; Kitasatosporales; Streptomycetaceae. The record is from RNAcentral.
GGGCGAGCCGGGCACAGGAGAGCCCAAGGGUCUGUAACACCCCCGCUUCGGCUGUGGCGGUUCGAAUCCGCCCUCGCCCACCA